RNAcentral lists this ribosomal RNA (544 nucleotides) under uncultured Planctomycetales bacterium. Its description in RNAcentral is "bacterial SSU rRNA". It matches the Rfam family "Bacterial small subunit ribosomal RNA", at positions 1 to 527 of the family's 1533-position model. Lineage: Bacteria; Pseudomonadati; Planctomycetota; Planctomycetia; Planctomycetales. The record is from RNAcentral.
UAGGGUUUGAUUAUGGCUCAGAACGAACGCUGGCGGCGUGGAUUAGGCAUGCAAGUCGAACGAGAAAGGGUUUCUUCGGAACCUGAGUAAAGUGGCGAAAGGGUGAGGAGUACCUAGGUAACCUACCCUGAAGCGCGGGAUAACGCUCGGAAACGGGUGCUAAUACCGCAUGUGGCAACGGUUUCGCGAGAAGUCGUUGCUAAAGGUAGCCUCUGUUUUAAGCUUCCGCUUCAGGAGGGGCCUCGGGCCUAUCAGCUUGUUGGUGGGGUAAUGGCCUACCAAGGCGGGGACGGGUAGCCGGUCUGAGAGGACGGUCGGCCACACUGGGACUGAGAUACUGCCCAGACUCCUACGGGAGGCUGCAGUCGAGAAUCUUCCGCAAUGGACGAAAGUCUGACGGAGCGACGCCGCGUGUGGGAGGAAGGCUCUAGGGUUGUAAACCACUGUCACCUGUUAUGAAUCGUGUGAUGUGAAUAGCAUCGCGCGUGACAAAGGCAGGAGAGGAAGCCACGGCUAACUUCGUGCCAGCCGCCGCGGUAAUACA